UUGCGGCGCACAUAAGACAUGCAAGUCGAACGGACUUAACCAUUAGUUUACUAUUGGAGCGGUUAGUGGCGGACUGGUGAGUAACACGUAAGCAACCUGCCUAUCAGAGGGGAACAACAGUUAGAAAUGACUGCUAAUACCGCAUAUGCCUUAAUUACCACAUGGUAAUAGAGGGAAAGGAGUAAUCCGCUGAUAGAUGGGCUUGCGUCUGAUUAGAUAGUUGGUAAGGUAACGGCUUACCAAGUCGACGAUCAGUAGCCGGACUGAGAGGUUGAACGGCCACAUUGGGACUGAGAUACGGCCCAGACUCCUACGGGAGGCAGCAGUCGGGAAUAUUGCGCAAUGGAGGAAACUCUGACGCAGUGACGCCGCGUGCAGGAAGAAGGUUUUCGGAUUGUAAACUGCUUUAGACAGGGAAGAAACAAGACAGUACCUGUAGAAUAAGCUCCGGCUAACUACGUGCCAGCAGCCGCGGUAAUACGUAGGGAGCAAGCGUUAUCCGGAUUUAUUGGGUGUAAAGGGUGCGUAGACGGGAAUGCAAGUUGGUUGUGAAAUCCCUCGGCUCAACCGAGGAAUUGCAACCAAAACUAUAUUUCUUGAGUGCUGGAGAGGAAAGUGGAAUUCCUAGUGUAGCGGUGAAAUGCGUAGAUAUUAGGAGGAACACCAGUGGCGAAGGCGACUUUCUGGACAGUAACUGACGUUGAGGCACGAAAGUGUGGGGAGCAAACAGGAUUAGAUACCCUGGUAGUCCACACCGUAAACGAUGGAUACUAGGUGUAGGGGAUGAAUAAUCUUCUGUGCCGUCGCAAACGCAGUAAGUAUCCCACCUGGGGAGUACGGCCGCAAGGUUGAAACUCAAAGGAAUUGACGGGGGCCCGCACAAGCAGUGGAGUAUGUGGUUUAAUUCGACGCAACGCGAAGAACCUUACCAGGGCUUGACAUAUACAUGAAAAUCUAAGAGAUUAGAUCCCUCUUCGGAGCAUGUAUACAGGUGGUGCAUGGUUGUCGUCAGCUCGUGUCGUGAGAUGUUGGGUUAAGUCCCGCAACGAGCGCAACCCCUGUUCUUAGUUGCCAGCAUGUAAAGAUGGGCACUCUAGGGAGACUGCCAGGGAUAACCUGGAGGAAGGUGGGGAUGACGUCAAAUCAUCAUGCCCCUUAUGAUUUGGGCUACACACGUGCUACAAUGGCGUAAACAAAGGGAAGCAAGACAGUGAUGUGGAGCAAAUCCCAAAAAUAACGUCCCAGUUCGGACUGUAGUCUGCAACCCGACUACACGAAGCUGGAAUCGCUAGUAAUCGCGAAUCAGAAUGUCGCGGUGAAUACGUUCCCGGGUCUUGUACACACCGCCCGUCACACCAUGGGAGUCAGCAACGCCCGAAGUCAGUGACCCAACUCGCAAGAGAGGGAGCUGCCGAAGGCGGGGCAGGUAACUGG
Molecule: ribosomal RNA, 1434 nt
Filed under: uncultured organism
Description: partial small subunit ribosomal RNA
Rfam family: Bacterial small subunit ribosomal RNA
Source: RNAcentral